RNAcentral lists this ribosomal RNA (274 nucleotides) under Bacillus pseudomycoides. RNAcentral's name for it is "partial 16S ribosomal RNA". It matches the Rfam family "Bacterial small subunit ribosomal RNA", at positions 60 to 322 of the family's 1533-position model. Lineage: Bacteria; Bacillati; Bacillota; Bacilli; Caryophanales; Bacillaceae. The record is from RNAcentral.
AGUCGAGCGAAUGGAUUAAGAGCUUGCUCUUAUGAAGUUAGCGGCGGACGGUUGAGUAACACGUGGGUAACCUGCCCAUAAGACUGGGAUAACUCCGGGAAACCGGGGCUAAUACCGGAUAACAUUUUGCACCACAUGGUGCGAAAUUGAAAGGCGGCUUCGGCUGUCACUUAUGGAUGGACCCGCGUCGCAUUAGCUAGUUGGUGAGGUAACGGCUCACCAAGGCAACGAUGCGUAGCCGACCUGAGAGGGUGAUCGGCCACACUGGGACUGA